Long non-coding RNA from Priapulus caudatus, 188 nucleotides. RefSeq lists it as uncharacterized. NCBI's taxonomy places the organism in Eukaryota, Metazoa, Priapulida, Priapulimorpha, Priapulimorphida, Priapulidae. The transcript has 3 exons. The record is from RefSeq and is a predicted model, not a curated record.
ACAUAUUCUGGUCGUUUUCCCGCCAACUCACCGGAUGCGCUUUGAUUUAUAGACAAUUAUCGACGUGGUAGUUAAUUGAUGCACGAUGUAGUUUCAAUUGAAGUACAUCAUGGGGAUGUACAUCUAUCAGUACGUCAUGCAUUCAUUACGGACAGUCAUCGAUGUGGUAGUUCAUUGAGUUUCAAUUG